RNAcentral lists this ribosomal RNA (254 nucleotides) under uncultured bacterium. RNAcentral's name for it is "partial 16S ribosomal RNA". It matches the Rfam family "Bacterial small subunit ribosomal RNA", at positions 524 to 776 of the family's 1533-position model. The record is from RNAcentral.
UACGGGGGGAGCAAGCGUUGUUCGGAUUUACUGGGCGUAAAGGGCGCGUAGGCGGCCACUGCAAGUCAAUUGUGAAAUCUCCGGGCUUAACUCGGAAAGGUCAACUGAUACUGCGGGGCUAGAGUGCGGAAGGGGCAACUGGAAUUCUCGGUGUAGCGGUGAAAUGCGUAGAUAUCGAGAGGAACACCUGCGGCGAAGGCGGGUUGCUGGGCCGACACUGACGCUGAGGCGCGAAAGCCAGGGGAGCGAACGGG